Regulatory RNA element from Anaerosporobacter mobilis DSM 15930, 164 nucleotides. NCBI's taxonomy places the organism in Bacteria, Bacillati, Bacillota, Clostridia, Lachnospirales, Lachnospiraceae. The record is from Rfam.
UAGUGUAGCACGUAUAGUACUUCUUAGUGUGUACUCAGAAACCAAGGAAGGCGAGGCAUGGAUGCCGAGCCAGCCUGAGCUGCGGCAGGAUGCCACAUCGAUGGCGGUUCCGCAAAAUUGGUGCAUGUGGUGUACACACAUAGAAGUACUUAGGUGCGUAACGU